UGCAAGUCGAGCGACAGAUAAGGAGCUUGCUCCUUUGACGUUAGCGGCGGACGGGUGAGUAACACGUGGGUAACCUACCUAUAAGACUGGAAUAACUCCGGGAAACCGGGGCUAAUGCCGGAUAACAUAUAGAACCGCAUGGUUCUAUAGUGAAAGAUGGUUUUGCUAUCACUUAUAGAUGGACCCGCGCCGUAUUAGCUAGUUGGUAAGGUAAUGGCUUACCAAGGCGACGAUACGUAGCCGACCUGAGAGGGUGAUCGGCCACACUGGAACUGAUACACGGUCCAGACUCCUACGGGAGGCAGCAGUAGGGAAUCUUCCGCAAUGGGCGAAAGCCUGACGGAGCAACGCCGCGUGAGUGAUGAAGGGUUUCGGCUCGUAAAACUCUGUUAUUAGGGAAGAACAUAUGUGUAAGUAACUGUGCACAUCUUGACGGUACCUAAUCAUAUAGCCACGGCUAACUACGUGCCAGCAGCCGCGGUAAUACGUAGGUGGCAAGCGUUAUCCGGAAUUAUUGGGCGUAAAGCGCGCGUAGGCGGUUUCUUAAGUCUGAUGUGAAAGCCCACGGCUCACCCCGUGCACGGUCAUUGGAGACUGGUAAACUUGAGUGCACAAUAGGAGGGUGAAUUCCAUGUGUAGCGGUGAAAUGCGCAGAGAUAUGGAGGAACACCAGGGGUCUAAUGCCGACUUUUCUGGUCCC
Molecule: ribosomal RNA, 700 nt
Filed under: Staphylococcus gallinarum
Lineage: Bacteria; Bacillati; Bacillota; Bacilli; Caryophanales; Staphylococcaceae
Description: bacterial SSU rRNA
Rfam family: Bacterial small subunit ribosomal RNA
Source: RNAcentral